RNAcentral lists this ribosomal RNA (812 nucleotides) under uncultured bacterium. RNAcentral describes it as "bacterial SSU rRNA". It matches the Rfam family "Bacterial small subunit ribosomal RNA", at positions 8 to 796 of the family's 1533-position model. The record is from RNAcentral.
AGAGUUUGAUCAUGGCUCAGAGCGAACGUUAGCGGCGCGCCUAACACAUGCAAGUCGCACGAGAAAGGGCUUCGGCCCCGGUAAAGUGGCGCACGGGUGCGUAACACGUAGGCAAUCUUCCCUUGGGCGGGGGAUAACGUUUCGAAAGAGACGCUAAUACCGCAUGAGACCACAGUUGCUUCGGCAGCAGCGGUCAAAGCUGGCCUCUUCAUGAAAGCUAGCACCCAAGGACGAGCCUGCGGCCCAUCAUUGCUAGUUGGUAGGGUAACGGCCUACCAAGGCUAAGACGGGUAGCUGGUCUGAGAGGAUGAUCAGCCACACUGGAACUGAAACACGGUCCAGACUCCUACGGGAGGCAGCAGUGGGGAAUAUUGGACAAUGGGCGCAAGCCUGAUCCAGCGACGCCGCGUGAGUGAUGAAGGCCUUCGGGUUGUAAAGCUCUGUUGAGGGGAAAGAAAACGGUCAGCGCGAAUAGCUCUGGCCCUUGACGGUACCCCUUUAGAAAGCACCGGCUAACUCUGUGCCAGCAGCCGCGGUAAGACAGAGGGUGCAAACGUUGCUCGGAAUUACUGGGCGUAAAGCGCGUGUAGGCGGACCCGCAAGUCGGACGUGAAAUCCCUGAGCUCAACUCAGGAACUGCAUCCGAAACUGCGGGCCUGGAGUGGUGGAGAGGGAAGCAGAAUUCCUGGUGUAGAGGUGAAAUUCGUAGAUAUCAGGAGGAACACCGGUGGCGAAGGCGGCUUCCUGGACACUUACUGACGCUGAGACGCGAAAGCGUGGGGAGCAAACAGGAUUAGAUACCCUAGUAGUCC